This 253-nucleotide ribosomal RNA is filed under the name uncultured bacterium. Its description in RNAcentral is "partial 16S ribosomal RNA". It matches the Rfam family "Bacterial small subunit ribosomal RNA", at positions 524 to 776 of the family's 1533-position model. RNAcentral also lists the same sequence under 1 other name. The record is from RNAcentral.
UACAGAGGGUGCGAGCGUUAAUCGGAAUUACUGGGCGUAAAGGGUGCGUAGGUGGUUGAAUAAGUUAGGUGUGAAAUUCCUGGGCUUAACCUGGGGACUGCGCCUGAUACUGUUUAGCUAGAGUACUGUAGAGGAAAGUGGAAUUUCCGGUGUAGCGGUGAAAUGCGUAGAUAUCGGAAGGAACACCAGUGGCGAAAGCGACUUUCUGGACAGAUACUGACACUGAGGCACGAAAGCAUGGGUAGCAAACAGG